GGGGAUUUAGCUCAGUGGUAGAGCACUUGCCUAGCAAGAGCAAGGCCCUGGGUUCGGUCCCCAGCUCCCCG
Molecule: non-coding RNA, 71 nt
Organism: Rattus norvegicus (Norway rat)
Lineage: Eukaryota; Metazoa; Chordata; Mammalia; Rodentia; Muridae
Source: Rfam